GGGGAAUUUUCCGCAAUGGGCGCAAGUCUGACGGAGCAACGCCGCGUGCAGGAGGACGCUUUUCGGAGUGUAAACUGCUUUUCUGUGGGACGAGCGAGGACGGUACCACAGGAAGAAGCCCCGGCUAACUACGUGCCAGCAGCCGCGGUAAUACGUAGGGGGCGAGCGUUGUCCGGAGUUACUGGGCGUAAAGGGCAUGCAGGCGGUCGGACGCGUUUCCAGUGACAGUGGGUGGCUUACCUACCCGAGGAUUGGAAAGACGGUUUGACUUGAGGACUCGAGAGGGACACGGAAUUCCGGGUGGAGUGGUGAAAUGCGUAGAGAUCCGGAGGAACAUCAAAGGCGAAGGCAGUGUCCUGGCGAGUAACUGACGCUGAGGUGCGAAAGCUAGGGGAGCGAAAGGGAUUAGAUACCCCUGUAGUC
This 423-nucleotide ribosomal RNA is filed under the name uncultured bacterium. RNAcentral's name for it is "bacterial SSU rRNA". It matches the Rfam family "Bacterial small subunit ribosomal RNA", at positions 356 to 795 of the family's 1533-position model. The record is from RNAcentral.